This 436-nucleotide small RNA is filed under the name Histoplasma ohiense. Its description in RNAcentral is "hypothetical lncRNA". Lineage: Eukaryota; Fungi; Ascomycota; Eurotiomycetes; Onygenales; Ajellomycetaceae. The record is from RNAcentral.
CCACGCUCAUAUAGUUUCUAACAAUUCUUCCACAUAGCUCUUAACAUUCUUCUGUUCCAUGCUCUGCACUCACAUAGUCUCUAAUGAUUCUUCCGUGUAGCUCCUUACAUUCUCCCACUCUGUGUUCCACACUCACAUAGUCUCUAACAAUUCUUCUGCAUAGCUCCUUACAUUCUCCCACUCUGUGUUCCACACUCACAUAGUCUCUAACAAUUCUUCCACAUAGCUCUCAACAAUUUCUCCACCCCACAUUCUGCACUUGUGUAGCUUCUAACAAUUCUUAUGUGUAUCUCUUAAUAUUCUUCCACUCCACACUUCACUGUGGAGUGGCUUCUGAUAUUCUUCUGCUCUGAACUUUCCUCUAUAAGAACCCUCUUCAUACAAUCUUUUCUUCUGAUUUCUUUUCUCUUUCUUUCCUUAAUCAAUUCAUAAUCUG